This 1043-nucleotide ribosomal RNA is filed under the name uncultured Methanoculleus sp. Its description in RNAcentral is "bacterial SSU rRNA". It matches the Rfam family "Archaeal small subunit ribosomal RNA", at positions 1 to 1054 of the family's 1478-position model. The record is from RNAcentral. Lineage: Archaea; Methanobacteriati; Methanobacteriota; Methanomicrobia; Methanomicrobiales; Methanomicrobiaceae.
UCCGUUUGAUCCUGGCGGAGGUCACUGCUAUCGGGGUUCGAUUAAGCCAUGCGAGUCGAGAGGGUUCGGCCCUCGGCGUACUGCUCAGUAACACGUGGAUAACCUGCCCUAGGGAAGGGGAUAACCCCGGGAAACUGGGGAUAAUACCCUAUAGAUUACAGAUGCUGGAAUGCCCUGUAAUCCAAAGUUCCGACGCCCUAGGAUGGAUCUGCGGCCGAUUAGGUUGUUGUUGGGGUAAUGGCCCAACAAGCCCGUAAUCGGUACGGGUUGUGGGAGCAAGAGCCCGGAGUUGGAUUCUGAGACACGAAUCCAGGCCCUACGGGGCGCAGCAGGCGCGAAAACUUUACAAUGCGGGCAACCGUGAUAAGGGAACCUCGAGUGCCUGUAAAUGCAGGCUGUUCAGGUGCCUAAAACACACCUGAAGAAAGGGCCGGGCAAGACCGGUGCCAGCCGCCGCGGUAAUACCGGCGGCUCGAGUGGUGGCCGCUUUUAUUGGGCUUAAAGCGUUCGUAGCUGGGUUGUUAAGUCUCUUGGGAAAUCUGGCGGCUUAACCGUCAGGCGUCUAAGGGAUACUGGCAAUCUUGGAACCGGGAGAGGUGAGGGGUACUUCGGGGGUAGGAGUGAAAUCCUGUAAUCCUCGAGGGACCACCUGUGGCGGAGGCGCCUCACCAGAACGGCUUCGACAGUGAGGGACGAAAGCUGGGGGAGCAAACCGGAUUAGAUACCCGGGUAGUCCCAGCCGUAAACUAUGCGCGUUAGGUGUAUCGGUGACCACGAGUUACCGAGGUGCCGAAGGGAAACCGUGAAACGUGCCGCCUGGGAAGUACGGUCGCAAGGCUGGAACUUAAAGGAAUUGGCGGGGGAGCACCACAACAGGUGGAGCCUGCGGUUUAAUUGGACUCAACGCCGGGAAGCUCACCGGAUAAGACAGCAGAAUGAUUGCCGGGCUGAAGACUCUGCAUGACUAGCUGAGAGGAGGUGCAUGGCCGUUGUCAGUUCGUACUGUGAAGCAUCCUGUUAAGUCAGGCAACGAGCGAGACCCA